RNAcentral lists this ribosomal RNA (428 nucleotides) under uncultured marine eukaryote. RNAcentral describes it as "SSU rRNA". The stretch from base 104 to 428 matches the Rfam family "Eukaryotic small subunit ribosomal RNA", at positions 742 to 959 of the family's 1831-position model. The record is from RNAcentral.
UAGGAGCGUCCCGACCAUACUCCGAGAACGUCAGAAACUAAGAUCACGGAAGCGUUUUUUACAAACUGCCACCGACUACGCGAGCAAUGUUCGCUGGUGGACGUCCGUGUUUUUUACUGUGACUAAAGAAGUGCGACCAAGGCAGUCCAUCGACAUGAAUUAGAAAGCAUGGGAUAACAAAGCAGCAGCCUAUGAGCUACCAUUUAGGCUUUUGUUGGUUUUAAAGGUUCGUGGGAGAUUACGGGCGUGUAGGACCGGCGUUGGGGGUUUUCCAAAAUCCCCGCGUCUCCUCCUGGCAUCGGAAACGGUGCUUGCGGGGCCUGCUUCGCUCAGGAAUGAAGGAGGGUUGCUCGGGGGAAAACGUACUUGGGCGUGAGAGGUGAAAUUCUUAGACCGCCCAAAGACGAACUACAGCGAAGGCAUUUUCC